Molecule: ribosomal RNA, 253 nt
Filed under: uncultured bacterium
Lineage: Bacteria
Description: partial 16S ribosomal RNA
Rfam family: Bacterial small subunit ribosomal RNA
Source: RNAcentral
UACGAGGGGUGCAAACGUUAUUCGGAUUUACUGGGUGUAAAGGGUGUGUAGACGGCGCAUUAAGUUCGUUGUUAAAUCUUCCGGCCUAACUGGAAGGUCGCGAUGAAAACUGGUGUGCUUGAGGAUGGAAGAGAGAAGUGGAAUUCUCGGAGUAGCGGUAAAAUGCGUAGAUCUCGAGAGGAACACCGAUGGCGAAGGCAGCUUCUUGGUCCAUUCCUGACGUUGAGACACGAAAGCGUGGGGAGCAAACAGG